AUUGAACGCUGGCGGCAUGCCUUACACAUGCAAGUCGAACGGUAACAGGUCUUCGGAUGCUGACGAGUGGCGAACGGGUGAGUAAUACAUCGGAACGUGCCCAGACGUGGGGGAUAACGAGGCGAAAGCUUUGCUAAUACCGCAUACGAUCUAAGGAUGAAAGCAGGGGACCGCAAGGCCUUGUGCGUUUGGAGCGGCCGAUGGCAGAUUAGGUAGUUGGUGGGAUAAAAGCUUACCAAGCCGACGAUCUGUAGCUGGUCUGAGAGGACGACCAGCCACACUGGGACUGAGACACGGCCCAGACUCCUACGGGAGGCAGCAGUGGGGAAUUUUGGACAAUGGGCGAAAGCCUGAUCCAGCAAUGCCGCGUGCAGGAUGAAGGCCUUCGGGUUGUAAAAUGCUUUUGUACGGAACGAAAAGGCUCUGGCUAAUACCUGGGGCACAUGACGGUACCGUAAGAAUAAGCACCGGCUAACUACGUG
Molecule: ribosomal RNA, 482 nt
Filed under: uncultured bacterium
Lineage: Bacteria
Description: partial 16S ribosomal RNA
Rfam family: Bacterial small subunit ribosomal RNA
Source: RNAcentral